CGCAGGUGCCCGAGCCCCCCGGGGCCCUCGCCUCAGGGUGCCCGUGCCCGGCGGAGAACGGACCCGGCGCUUUGGUACCAGCAGGAAAAGAUGCUCUCUAUGAAUAGAGAGAGUGGCUAUUUACUCCGAAAUACUUGGCACGGCGGACGGAGUCUGAAGCGUGGAAGAAGUGUCUAUUAUUUUCCCACUGCAUGUGUGCAGCUGUCACUUCUGAGCAACAUGUUCCUCGCACAUCCCUGCUUCCCCGCCUCGCUGAGGGUCCUCCCCAGGAUAACAACAAGAAGGAACCAGCAGGCCACCUCACUCAGCCAAAACCUAAACGUUGUGGUUUGUAUUUGACCAAACCCAAGACUUAAGCAGUGUGGCUUGUAUUAAAUCGUUGCAGAUAACUGUUAUGCUUUUUUUUUUUAGGUAGGAGGAUGGUUCUUCUCCCCCCCCCUCUUGUGUAUCAUUUGAAUGUUCAGUGAUGUCAUGUUGUUUCACCUCCACUUUAACACAAGGAAUGCCAGCGUUUUGGCUUUUGACCUGUGGAAGCAAAUGGCUGCUAACAAAACCAGACGCUGCUUUGGACUACAGGUGAAAUGCCUCGCGAGAGCAGCAGGAGAGGGAGAUGGUGGAGUUGCCCUCCCAGAGUCUUUGCAGACAUCAUCUUCAGGUAUCUUGGACAAACACCUGCUGGGCCAUAAGCAUAGAGAAAAAGAGAAGGAGGUGCAGGGUUGAUAAUGCUUGAGAAUUUGCCAGAUGUCAGCAGGUAUUUCAGGUAUUUUAAGAUGAGCCUCUUGGGUGACUUGUGAAAAUCCAGAAUCCUGCCUUUCUGCAUGGAUAAUGAAGACCCAUCUUACUUGCUGGUAUAAUGUACAAAUAGCAUUUGUUCCUAUAUUCUGUCCCUAAAGAGGAUGCAUUCAUACAUUUUGAGACUGGGCAAAGCAUAAAAGCAAAGUCAUGAGGAGCUGUAUUUCUGGCUCCUUAGCAAGAUAAUAGGGAGUCUUACAGGGGAUAAACAUUAGCUGCUUUGUUACUUAAUUUCUUAACAUUUUUUUCUGUUUUUCCCAUCUGAACAGAGAAGCAAGGAAACAUAAAACUGUGUUUCCUCUCAAAUUAUUUCACGUGCCACUGACAGCACAUCCCCUGUGCCUUUUCAGUCCUAUGGAGACACCUCUGAGUUUGGACAGCACCCAGCACUGCAAGGCCUCACUCCAUGGCAAUACUUCCAGGCAAAUAAAUCACAGUAGUGUUUUGUUGUGCAAAAGCAGAUCCAUUCUCCACCAGUGAUGCCCUUUUCCCUUCUGGGAGGAAGCCAGCAAGUUGCUCUGCACCCAGUGGGCGUGGCAGGGUUGAGUCCUUGCAGGCACCCUCCAGUUGGUGCCUUGGGCCAGACCACCUACCUUCUGAAAUACAGAUGUUACUGAAGAUGCCUGGCCUGGGUUGUUGGGAAGGCUGGAGCUGCAGGUCUUGCCAGCAGGGCAAAACCUUCUCCUCACAAACAGUAAAGCUGCUGCUUCCCCCCCCGAGGCUGCUUGAGGGGGGUUGCUGGAGUCUGGUCCUGCUGCAGUGCUAUGCCAGGCAGCAAGUACUGGCAGCUGGAGGCAGCCUGCCAGGGAAAGGUUGUGCAUCGUGUGGCUGCGAGGCAAGCAUUCAAGCAUGGGUUAAAAUGGCUGGACAGCUUGCCACUAGAAAACAGGGUUUUUUUCCAUAAUCACUUCCCAGUCUUGGAUAUGCAGUCUCCAGUUACUGGAGGGAUUCAGAGCUGGCACAGGCAGCCUCUUAAGUAUUAGUCUGCCCUGUGUGCUUGGCACCAAACUGAGACAAUUUUGAGUACAGUUCAGAUCUUCUGAAGGAGGUGUUGUUGUUUGGUUUUUUUUGUUUUGUUUUGGGUUGGGUUUUUUUGGUAUUUCUUUCCAUAAGAAAGCAGUUCUAUUUUUAGGACUUGGCCCAAAUUGUUGAAACCAGUGGGUUUUUACUGUUGUUUUUUUUCCUCUCUUCAAUCAAAAUGAAGCAGUUCUGGCUGAUCCUAGCUGAGCAGUGCUGCUGCUUCUCUUAAAGUUACACUCAAGGACAUUUUGUGAGGUGCGUGUGAGUGCAUGGUUGCCUAUGUGUGUGUGGAACAUUUCUCUCUAUUUCCAGGAAUGAAAAGGGGUCUUUGCUUCCUCCAGAUCUGCACUCUGUGCUUGUAAAUGUCUUUGUUAAGAUUGAUUUUGUGGAACACUAUGAAGGGAGUUUGGCCUAAAAUACAGUAUGUCAUUAAAGUGAAUUUUAUAU
This is a long non-coding RNA of Apus apus (common swift), 2259 nucleotides long. RefSeq lists it as uncharacterized. The transcript has 3 exons. NCBI's taxonomy places the organism in Eukaryota, Metazoa, Chordata, Aves, Apodiformes, Apodidae. The record is from RefSeq and is a predicted model, not a curated record.